Molecule: unclassified non-coding RNA, 476 nt
Filed under: uncultured Bartonella sp.
Lineage: Bacteria; Pseudomonadati; Pseudomonadota; Alphaproteobacteria; Hyphomicrobiales; Bartonellaceae
Description: partial 16S-23S ribosomal RNA intergenic spacer
Source: RNAcentral
GAUCAAAAGAGGGAUUACAAAAUCUAUAUAACUCAAAGCGAUAUGAUUGAACCGAUAGUUUCAUAUAGGCAUUGACGUCUAUGAGCAUUUGGAAUUUAUAUCAACCAAAUGGACGCUGUAAAAAUCACUUUGCAAGGAAUUUUGACUCCUUAGUAUUUAGCAUUUGAACUGUUUUUUUGCCAUUAAUUUGCUUUAACUUUGGAUUACUCACACAAAAGCAAUAAGCCUGCCAAUUUUGAUAAGCUUUUUAGAAGCAAUCUUUUUAGAAGUACUUAUUUUUUAAAAGCACUUAUGAAAGUAAUGGAUAAACUGGUGGGCCUGGGAGGACUUGAACCUCCGACCUCACGCUUAUCAAGCGCGCGCUCUAACCAACUGAGCUACAAGCCCUCCGGGAUAAACCGGAAAACCUUCCCCGGCAUCCUCUUAUAAAACGCUUAAAUUUUAUCAAGGAAAGCGUUUUCAAAGCCCACGGGGAC